UGGGGAAUAUUGCGCAAUGGGGGCAACCCUGACGCAGCCAUGCCGCGUGAGUGAUGAAGGCCCUAGGGUUGUAAAGCUCUUUCACCGGUGAAGAUAAUGACGGUAACCGGAGAAGAAGCCCCGGCUAACUACGUGCCAGCAGCCGCGGUAAUACGUAGGGACCAAGCGUUGUUCGGAUUUACUGGGCGUAAAGGGCGCGUAGGCGGCAUGACAAGUCACUUGUGAAAUCUCUGGGCUUAACCCAGAACGGCCAAGUGAUACUGUCGCGCUAGAGUGCAGAAGGGGCAAUCGGAAUUCUUGGUGUAGCGGUGAAAUGCGUAGAUAUCAAGAGGAACACCUGAGGUGAAGACGGGUUGCUGGGCUCGAUACUGACACUGAGGUGCGAAAGCGUGGGGAGCAAACAGGAUUAGAUACCCCUGUAGUCCCUGAGCGGGCUGGCAAGGCGCAU
This 448-nucleotide ribosomal RNA is filed under the name uncultured bacterium. RNAcentral's name for it is "bacterial SSU rRNA". It matches the Rfam family "Bacterial small subunit ribosomal RNA", at positions 355 to 825 of the family's 1533-position model. The record is from RNAcentral.